UACAACUUUCAGCGGUGGAUGUCUAGGUUCCCACAACGAUGAAGAACGCAGCGAAAUGCGAUACGUAAUGCGAUGCAAGACCUCGUGAUCAUUAAGAUUUGACGCACAUGCGCUUUCGGGAUUUUCCCGGUAGCAUGCUUGUCUGAGUGUCUGUG
This 155-nucleotide ribosomal RNA is filed under the name Pseudo-nitzschia delicatissima. Its description in RNAcentral is "5.8S ribosomal RNA". It matches the Rfam family "5.8S ribosomal RNA". Rfam says of the family: 5.8S ribosomal RNA (5.8S rRNA) is a component of the large subunit of the eukaryotic ribosome. Lineage: Eukaryota; Bacillariophyta; Bacillariophyceae; Bacillariales; Bacillariaceae. The record is from RNAcentral.